GGGCUCACUUAGGCAGCACACACACUAACACUGGGCCGACACAGAGAUAGCACUGGCCCCUGCACAAGGUUGACAUGCAAAUCUGUGAAGCAUUCAUAUUUUUG
Small nuclear RNA from Onychomys torridus (southern grasshopper mouse), 104 nucleotides. Lineage: Eukaryota; Metazoa; Chordata; Mammalia; Rodentia; Cricetidae. The record is from RefSeq and is a predicted model, not a curated record.